Camelus ferus (Wild Bactrian camel) is the source of this 45-nucleotide non-coding RNA. Lineage: Eukaryota; Metazoa; Chordata; Mammalia; Artiodactyla; Camelidae. The record is from Rfam.
ACAAAGGAGUUAUUAAACUCCACCAACACAAGCUGAGCAACAGGG